Molecule: microRNA precursor, 70 nt
Filed under: Dendroctonus ponderosae (mountain pine beetle)
Lineage: Eukaryota; Metazoa; Arthropoda; Insecta; Coleoptera; Curculionidae
Description: mir-252 microRNA precursor family
Rfam family: mir-252 microRNA precursor family
Source: Rfam by way of RNAcentral
UUCUGUUACUAAGUACUAGUGCCGCAGGAGUGCACUUGAUCUCCUGCUGCUCAAGUGCUUAUCAAUGGGC